UACGUAGGCAGCAAGCGUUGUUCGGAGUUACUGGGCGUAAAGGGUGUGUAGGCGGUUUUCUAAGUCUGGUGUGAAAUCUCCCGGCUCAACUGGGAGGGUGCGCCGAAAACUGGAAGGCUAGAGUACUGGAUGGGUAAGUGGAAUUCCUGGUGUAGCGGUGAAAUGCGUAGAUAUCAGGAGGAACACCUGUGGUGUAGACGGCUUACUGGACAGUAACUGACGCUGAGACACGAAAGCGUGGGUAGCAAAC
RNAcentral lists this ribosomal RNA (250 nucleotides) under uncultured bacterium. RNAcentral describes it as "partial 16S ribosomal RNA". It matches the Rfam family "Bacterial small subunit ribosomal RNA", at positions 524 to 773 of the family's 1533-position model. The record is from RNAcentral.